CUGGGGUACAUGUGCAGAUCAUGCAGGAUUGUUGCAUAGGUUAUUAAGGAUGGAAUAAAUAAUGGGAGAUUUCCAUUUCAUGAAGGAGGUCCUGCGCCAAUAUUACCAGACGAAAAAUGAUGUACCUAUUGGCAUUUUUCCCUGUUGAUCUUGAAAGCAGCCUCUGAACUUCUAAACAUAGUACUCCAGAUAUUGAAAAGAAUAAGAUACUGCAGACCACAGAUCUCACAGUGUCUUCAGGGUGCUCCUGGGAUACAGGAUAAAAUUUGUUCACUGUCUUCAAUACAGAGAACAAAUAAGUGUGAAAAUGGAAUGAGAUUUACAACCUAUCUAACAAUCACAAUGCGGAAUCCUGCUGCUUAUUCCUGACAAGAAGAUGUUAUAAAAGGUUGAAUAAUAUCUUUGGAAUUCAUAAAUUAUGAAUGCAGUCUUCUGCCUGCCAUGGAUGCCCUGAAAAGGACCAAAAACUAACGCAUGGAGAGGAACUCUGAAAUGAACAUGUUCUAGCUUAAAUACAGAAGAAUAUCCCAUAAGGCAUCAGGAAUCAUCUAAUGCUUUACUUUCAAAGAGUGCCUGCUGGCAGGCAAUGCUCAAACUUCCUAUAGAUUGGCAGAAAAAAUAAUUAUUGUGACUCCACUGUGCAAGAUGAAUGGGAAAGAAAGGGUCCUGGUACACAGAACUUCAUUUUCAAUAAAGUCUCCUAAAGAGAAAAGAGAGCAACAACUGAACACUCAAUUUUAUUCUUUGUUCAGCUUGCUGGGUCACAAGAAAUGCUUCUUUCUGAAGUGUUUUUUCUUAUAAAAUAAUAAGAUAAUGUGAAGCAGGCCGGAAGAGUAGGGAUUGCACUCAUUUCAGAAUCAAACAAACCAAGAAUUGAAUAAUCACCUCCUCUACCUUCUAGCUACGCACCUUAAACAAAUUCAUUAACUUUUCUAAGCCUCAGUUAGCCCACCCCACACAUGAAGAUAAUAAUACCUAACGUGAAUAAUUAACAUGUGACUAUCACCUUGAAAUGUUUCUGGCUCCUAAUAGGCAUUCUAUACAUUAGGUCUCUACUAGGCUAAAAUGAGAGCAAAGCAAAUAAGAAAAUACUAAAGGCAGAAUAGCACGAAGAAGAAUGUCUUGUGUCUACACUCGUUACUUCACAGAAAAAUCAUUUUACCUAAUUUGAUCAUAGGUCCUAUCAUAACUCAUCUUUGACAAAAUACAGCAUUUUGUGGUGUGAAAUGAGCUAUAAACCUGACAGUCAGAUCUAGCAUUGGUAAGGGA
Molecule: long non-coding RNA, 1269 nt
Organism: Sapajus apella (tufted capuchin)
Lineage: Eukaryota; Metazoa; Chordata; Mammalia; Primates; Cebidae
Exons: 6
Source: RefSeq, a predicted model, not a curated record